AACGCACAUUGCGCUCUUUGGUAUUCCGGAGAGCAUGCCUGUUUGAGAAUCAGUAAAUUCAUCAACCCAAGGUUCUUGGAAUGUAUUCUUGGAACUUGACGGUUGGAUAUGGGCAAUUUGCUGCGUAAGCAGCAAUAGCCUGAAAUUAAAUGUUACGCUCCGUUGGACUGAAACGUCUCGGGCAAACGCAUGAAUGAGGCAACUCAGAAAUACGUAAGCUUUGGGAUGGAUCGGUUAAUGGUUGGGUGACUCAACUGAUUAACCAGGGUUUGUUGGCGUCAGCCGGCUUAUUCUGAACACUUGGUCUCAAAUCAGGUAGGAAAACCCGCUGAACUUAA
RNAcentral lists this unclassified non-coding RNA (338 nucleotides) under uncultured Rhizophlyctidales. RNAcentral describes it as "sequence contains 5.8S rRNA gene, ITS2, 28S rRNA gene". Lineage: Eukaryota; Fungi; Chytridiomycota; Chytridiomycetes; Rhizophlyctidales. The record is from RNAcentral.